GAUCAGACCACACCAGCCGCGCGCGGAAUACAUCGCUCCCUGCGCUGGACCUCCGCACUGAAACCCAGUCACUUCUGUGCACACAAAUCUAUAGAUGUGCUGGAAAUUCACUCAAGCAGGUGGCGGUAAAUGUCCUCAUUCGAUUCAUUCAAACUACUGAUUAAUUCAGGAGUUAAGUAAAGGGAUCUCUUUAUGAAUGGGUCUUUGAAUCAUUGGUUCACACUAUUUGUUCAAAAAGCAGAUUCAUUCAGAACCUAAACACCGCUGUGUUGCUCGGAGAUGUACACCAAUUCUGCUAUGAUUUUAAAGACAGCAGCGUGUAACUGACCAGCCCCACAGGAGCACAACACGGACCCACUGCACUGGGACGAAGGAAGAGAGCAUUCACGGCACCAGAGCACCACCUGGACCUGUCUCUUUAUCACCCCCACUUGUAAAUAAAUCCACCCUCCAGGGCAUUUACUGAGC
Molecule: long non-coding RNA, 468 nt
Organism: Cyprinus carpio carpio
Lineage: Eukaryota; Metazoa; Chordata; Actinopteri; Cypriniformes; Cyprinidae
Source: Ensembl